GUUGGGAUAGCUCAGUCAGUAAAGCAUUAGACUUUUAAUCUCUGGGUCAUGGGCUUGAGCCCCACACUAGGCA
Molecule: non-coding RNA, 73 nt
Organism: Podarcis lilfordi (Lilford's wall lizard)
Lineage: Eukaryota; Metazoa; Chordata; Lepidosauria; Squamata; Lacertidae
Source: the annotation of a GenBank genome assembly